Molecule: non-coding RNA, 19 nt
Filed under: Arabidopsis thaliana (thale cress)
Lineage: Eukaryota; Viridiplantae; Streptophyta; Magnoliopsida; Brassicales; Brassicaceae
Source: RNAcentral
GCUGGAAUAGCUCAGAUGG